UCACAAAAGAGAAGGGUACUGCCCUUUUAUAACACAUGAAAACAGCCCCAUUACACAAUAGUUGCCUAGUUUUUAGGCUUGCACUUUCCCACUACUUUAUCCUAAGUGUAGUUGACACCCCAACUACUAGGAACAUGUUUAGAUCAUGGGAUCAUGGCCUCAAUUCAUGCUAACUCCUGCCAUCAUGAUAGACAAAGCUCAA
This 202-nucleotide long non-coding RNA is filed under the name Nicotiana benthamiana. RNAcentral's name for it is "long non-coding RNA (NBEN_LNC013316)". Lineage: Eukaryota; Viridiplantae; Streptophyta; Magnoliopsida; Solanales; Solanaceae. The record is from RNAcentral.